GAUGAACGCUGGCGGCGUGCCUAAUACAUGCAAGUCGAGCGAACGGACGAGAAGCUUGCUUCUCUGAUGUUAGCGGCGGACGGGUGAGUAACACGUGGAUAACCUACCUAUAAGACUGGGAUAACUUCGGGAAACCGGAGCUAAUACCGGAUCAUAUUUUGAACCGCAUGGUUCAAAAGUGAAAGACGGUCUUGCUGUCACUUAUAGAUGGAUCCGCGCUGCAUUAGCUAGUUGGUAAGGUAACGGCUUACCAAGGCAACGAUGCAUAGCCGACCUGAGAGGGUGAUCGGCCACACUGGAACUGAGACACGGUCCAGACUCCUACGGGAGGCAGCAGUAGGGAAUCUUCCGCAAUGGGCGAAAGCCUGACGGAGCAACGCCGCGUGAGUGAUGAAGGUCUUCGGAUCGUAAAACUCUGUUAUUAGGGAAGAACAUAUGUGUAAGUAACUGUGCACAUCUUGACGGUACCUAAUCAGAAAGCCACGGCUAACUACGUG
Molecule: ribosomal RNA, 497 nt
Filed under: uncultured bacterium
Lineage: Bacteria
Description: partial 16S ribosomal RNA
Rfam family: Bacterial small subunit ribosomal RNA
Source: RNAcentral